UUUUGGCUUAGUUAGGAGGCAAAAAUCAAUCAGAUCAUCAAUACUUUUCUGUAUUGCUUUUGAUCGUUUUGACUUCGGCUUUUUUUCUUGAGGAGGAGCUUUCUGUUUUCUUAAUUCAAGCUUCUUCCCAAAAAGCUUCAGACAUAA
This is a small nucleolar RNA of Eutrema salsugineum, 147 nucleotides long. It matches the Rfam family "Small nucleolar RNA U19". Lineage: Eukaryota; Viridiplantae; Streptophyta; Magnoliopsida; Brassicales; Brassicaceae. The record is from Rfam.